GGAAAGCUUCGUCCGGGCAGAAGGGCUCAGUCCCCCAAGUGUUUUGCAAGGCUGAAUGGUUGCCAUGGGAGACUAAAGUAAACAUGGAUAAAAGAAUCAAAGCAACACUCCAGAAGCCCCGGAUGAUUGCUUUGAUGUGGCCCGGCCCUCGGUGUCCCUCUGAGGAAAAUGACAAAGCGCCAUGUCGCAGAGGAAUGCUGAACAUGUUGUGGCCAGUCGCCCAGGAGUUGUGUGUUCAGCCUUCUUCCAAGUGUCUGGCUGAUGGAAGGCUGCUUAAGAAGGGGAACAUAUCUUCUAUAUAGACACCUUUUUUUCUCCAUCUGCUUACAACAUGUGCGGAAAAUGACCGGGAGACGUAAGAAGCCGGAAAGAGGAUGGAUAGUGGAUAGAUAGGGAAGUGCAUAAGGAGAGCGGAGGAAUCCGAGAAGGCGGGAAUAACAAACCCGCCUCAUAACAAGGGCUUGUGGAAAAAAACGACUGCAGCGGUUAAAAACUGUGUCAGAUCAUUUACCAGCGGGGGAUGAGGGACUUCAUCAGCCCUGCAGAGAGGCACUUGUCUAGUCAGCACUGCAACACAGAAACAGCCACGGCUUUAUUUGUGAGCCUGGAAUGUUCCUGUGUGCGCAAGGCCAGCACCCAAACAACCAGCCCUCAGCGCUACCUAGAGAGGGAACGUGGAUCUGACCUGAGCCAGACACCGCUGCAGAUGUACAGACGCAAGUUAUUGUUGCAGGUGACCCGACAGGCCUGUAGCUCUGUUUAACUGGCAGAAGUGACCCAGCAAAGAGCCCCAUCUGAAUCACAGAGUCUGAUGUGGCUCAGAACACAUUCACGCUGUAGUAUACCGAUUUGAGCAGGUGGCACUGUAAGGGAG
Molecule: long non-coding RNA, 874 nt
Organism: Gambusia affinis (western mosquitofish)
Lineage: Eukaryota; Metazoa; Chordata; Actinopteri; Cyprinodontiformes; Poeciliidae
Exons: 4
Source: RefSeq, a predicted model, not a curated record